GGGGCGUGCGGGUGGGCAGCGGGUGGGGGGGGCCGGGCUGAGCCCCCCCCCAGCCCGGGACAAGCUGCCCCAGGGCCCCGUGUGGGGGGAUGGGGGGGUCACGGGGGCUGAUUAAGACACGUCCCGUGUCGCGACGGGAGCGCGCGGUGUCGCGCGGAGUGUGCGCGGGAACGCGCGGGCAGCGCGGGGACACGGCAGCGGCACCGCAACGACAUGGAACGGCACCGGAACAGCCACGGUACCGGCACCGGAAUGGCCACAGCACCGGCAUGGCAUGGCCAUGGUACCGGCACCGGAACGGCCACAGCAUGGCCAUGGUAUCGGCACCGGAACGGCCACAGCACUGGCAUGGCACGGUCGUGGUGCCGGCACUGGCACGGCCACAGUACCAGCACUGGAACGGCCCCAGCACCGGCAUGGCAGGGCCACGGUACCGGCAUGGCCAUGGCACCAGCACCGUGCCCUCAUUGCACCAACAGGAGUUGCCAUGGCACUGACAUGGCACGACACGCGUGGCCGUGGCACCGGCGUUGCGCCCACUGGCACUGACAUGGCACAGCCACGGCACCGUCACGGCCACCACCGGGCUCGGGGGGCACCGCCCGGGUGCCGCGGCCCCGCCCGUGGCCCGAAGGCACGAGGUGGGACCGGUGCUGUGCCAGGGGUGGGGGGCAAACCCCCGAACCUGUGCCCCCCGCCCAGUGCGGGCGUUAGUGUUGGGCUCCUAUUGCACCGCCCGCAGCCGGUGCUGCCGGGACCCCCAAACUGGGACCCCUCAAAGUGGGGACCCCCAAACUGGGGGUCCCAGCAGGCCCCCCCCCGAGCCAGGCCCCUGGGUGGGGGUUUAAGACAUUUUGCACCAAGGUCCAAUCCGGCGCUGGUAUUUGGGGCUAGGGGCAGGCACCCCCUCACCCAGGGCACCCCACAGCCCCGCUGUGCCCCCCAACCCAGCUGCAAGGGGUCUGGCAGGGCCCCCCCAACACAACCCCAAUGGUUGGAGGGGAGUUUGGGGUAUGGGGGGAGCCCAGCCCGGCCC
RNAcentral lists this long non-coding RNA (1036 nucleotides) under Junco hyemalis (dark-eyed junco). RNAcentral's name for it is "lncRNA (ENSJHYG00000010450.1)". The record is from RNAcentral. Lineage: Eukaryota; Metazoa; Chordata; Aves; Passeriformes; Passerellidae.